UACGUAGGGUGCGAGCGUUGUCCGGAAUUACUGGGCGUAAAGAGCUCGUAGGUGGUUUGUCGCGUUGUUCGUGAAAUCUCACGGCUUAACUGUGAGCGUGCGGGCGAUACGGGCAGACUAGAGUACUGCAGGGGAGACUGGAAUUCCUGGUGUAGCGGUGGAAUGCGCAGAUAUCAGGAGGAACACCGGUGGCGAAGGCGGGUCUCUGGGCAGUAACUGACGCUGAGGAGCGAAAGCGUGUGGAGCGAACAGG
RNAcentral lists this ribosomal RNA (253 nucleotides) under uncultured bacterium. RNAcentral's name for it is "partial 16S ribosomal RNA". It matches the Rfam family "Bacterial small subunit ribosomal RNA", at positions 524 to 776 of the family's 1533-position model. The record is from RNAcentral.